CUGAUUCCAAUAAAUUGUAGGAAUUUGUGUUUUGAUGAGAGGAAAACUCACUUUUGGAGAGUUGAGCAACGCUGAUGGAACGGUCGUUGAUUUGAUCGGCGCUUGGCCUGAUGUCCAGACACGGAUUCAACAGAAAUUGUGUCUGCACAUUGUUGGAGUGGAAAUUGUGACUCGUACCUCUGUUUCGAAGCGCCUGUUUCCACAGGAGAUUGCUGAGUUCCUCGGUCCACGCUUUCUUGAUGUCUUCGCUCGCGCAUUGCAGCGUGUACGUGUCGCCGGGUUUUCUCUUGCGGAACCAUAUUUCGAACUUGGUCGGAGAGUCCGCGAUCACCGCGGUCAGGCCAAUGUCCGUUGUUUUGAUGCUGUGCUUGUAGAUGUAAAUAUCCAAGUUCUGGAAAAAUGGUUGAAGGGGUGCACAAUUAAUCGUCGCACCGGGCCAUCGUCCCAGGAGGUAGCGGAUUCGGAAGGAGCGAGAGAUCUCCGUCUCGCAGGGCUGCCGAGUGCGGAAACGCUUCUGGCAAACUCGAGGGCUUCGGUGCACUUGUUCCUGGCGAUGCGGCACUGUUC
This is a long non-coding RNA of Venturia canescens, 567 nucleotides long. RefSeq lists it as uncharacterized. The transcript is spliced from 3 exons. The record is from RefSeq and is a predicted model, not a curated record. NCBI's taxonomy places the organism in Eukaryota, Metazoa, Arthropoda, Insecta, Hymenoptera, Ichneumonidae.